GAAAUGCGAUACGUAAUGCGAAUUGCAGAAUUCAGUGAAUCAUCAAAUCUUUGAACGCAAAUUGCGCUCUCGGGUAUCCCUGGGAGCACGCCUCUUUGAGUAUCGGUUCUACCUCAUCUCGACAGCGUACUCGAGUUUCACAACUCGAGUUGCGUGUAGUCGGAAAAUGAGUUGUCUCAGUUCGCUUUUACUCGAGUUUACUCGUGUACAUUUCUACUGAGUCACUUUAAAUUUAGAGAAGAACUGAACCUUCCCACUUAAUUGGGGGAUGACGCAAGAUAAUUCACUCCUCGUGAGUGUUUACAACCUUCGUCUCUCCUAAGGGAUGUGUUCUGGUUUUGAUCCAGGAAUUUAUUCUUCGGAAUAAAAUCUUUUUCAGAAUAAGAUCUCAGAUGAAGCG
This 400-nucleotide unclassified non-coding RNA is filed under the name uncultured fungus. RNAcentral's name for it is "sequence contains ITS1". The stretch from base 1 to 105 matches the Rfam family "5.8S ribosomal RNA", at positions 50 to 154 of the family's 154-position model. The record is from RNAcentral. Lineage: Eukaryota; Fungi.